GACGAACGCUGGCGGCGUGCUUAACACAUGCAAGUCGAACGGAAAGGCCCUGCUUGCAGGGUGCUCGAGUGGCGAACGGGUGAGUAACACGUGGGUGAUCUGCCCCUUAUUUUGGGAUAAGCCUGGGAAACUGGGUCUAAUACUGGAUAGGACCAUGCUGUAGGUGGUGUGGUGGAAAGAUUAGUUUCGGUAAGGGAUGAGCUCGCGGCCUAUCAGCUUGUUGGUGGGGUAAUGGCCUACCAAGGCGUCGACGGGUAGCCGGCCUGAGAGGGUGGACGGCCACAUUGGGACUGAGAUACGGCCCAGACUCCUACGGGAGGCAGCAGUGGGGAAUAUUGCACAAUGGGCGCAAGCCUGAUGCAGCGACGCCGCGUGGGGGAUGACGGCCUUCGGGUUGUAAACUCCUUUCAGCCAUGACGAAGCCCUUGUGGCGACGGUAGUGGUAGAAGAAGCACCGGCUAACUACGUG
This 469-nucleotide ribosomal RNA is filed under the name uncultured bacterium. RNAcentral's name for it is "partial 16S ribosomal RNA". It matches the Rfam family "Bacterial small subunit ribosomal RNA", at positions 28 to 507 of the family's 1533-position model. The record is from RNAcentral.